Non-coding RNA from Vicia faba (fava bean), 291 nucleotides. The record is from the annotation of a GenBank genome assembly. NCBI's taxonomy places the organism in Eukaryota, Viridiplantae, Streptophyta, Magnoliopsida, Fabales, Fabaceae.
AUGGAUUUUGUGAACAAGUGUAAGAGACUAUUGACAUGCACAAAGAGCAUUCAUCCAGAGGAAACUUGCAGCGGAAGCAAUCGCAAAUUAUCGUCAGAGAGGUGUCACAAAAAGCAAAAAGACAGUCAUAAGAAACCACCAAAUGGUUGUGUUUGUGUUUACGUUGGACCUGAGAGACAGAGAUUCAUAAUCAAGAUCAAAAUAUUGAAUCAUCCUUUGUUCAAGUCACUUUUGGAAGAUGUUGAGAAUGAAUAUGGUUAUAGAUACGAUGGUCCUCUAUGGCUUCCUUGA